Molecule: small nuclear RNA, 164 nt
Filed under: Pogona vitticeps (central bearded dragon)
Lineage: Eukaryota; Metazoa; Chordata; Lepidosauria; Squamata; Agamidae
Description: U1 spliceosomal RNA (ENSPVIG00000002336.1)
Rfam family: U1 spliceosomal RNA
About the family: U1 is a small nuclear RNA (snRNA) component of the spliceosome (involved in pre-mRNA splicing). Its 5' end forms complementary base pairs with the 5' splice junction, thus defining the 5' donor site of an intron.
Source: Rfam by way of RNAcentral
AUACUUACCUGGCAGGGGAGAUACCAUGAUCAUGAAAGUGGUUUUCCCAGGGUGAGGCUCAUCCAUUGCACUUUGGGUGUCCUGAUCCCUGUGAUUUCCCCACAUGUGGGAAACUCGACUGCAUAAUUUGUGGUAGUGGGGGACUGUGUUUGCACUUUCCCCUG